GAAGCAACGCGAAGAACCUUACCAGGUCUUGACAUACUCGUGCUAUUCCUAGAGAUAGGAAGUUCCUUCGGGACACGGGAUACAGGUGGUGCAUGGUUGUCGUCAGCUCGUGUCGUGAGAUGUUGGGUUAAGUCCCGCAACGAGCGCAACCCCUAUUGUUAGUUGCCAUCAUUAAGUUGGGCACUCUAACGAGACUGCCGGUGAUAAACCGGAGGAAGGUGGGGAUGACGUCAAAUCAUCAUGCCCCUUAUGACCUGGGCUACACACGUGCUACAAUGGAUGGUACAACGAGUCGCGAGACAGUGAUGUUUAGCUAAUCUCUUAAAACCAUUCUCAGUUCGGAUUGUAGGCUGCAACUCGCCUACAUGAAGUCGGAAUCGCUAGUAAUCGCGGAUCAGCACGCCGCGGUGAACUACGUUCCCGGGCCUUGUACACACCGCCCGUCACACCACGAGAGUUUCGUAAACACCCGGAAGUCGGUGAGGUAACCCUUUUGGAGCCAGCCGCCUAAGGUGGGACAGAUGAUUGGGGUGAAGUUACCGG
This 543-nucleotide ribosomal RNA is filed under the name uncultured bacterium. RNAcentral's name for it is "bacterial SSU rRNA". It matches the Rfam family "Bacterial small subunit ribosomal RNA", at positions 953 to 1489 of the family's 1533-position model. The record is from RNAcentral.